UAUUGAAAUAAACCUGAUAGGUUGUUGCUGGUUCUCUCGGGAGCAUGUGUGCACACUUGUCAUCUUUACAUGUCUUCCACCUGUGCACAUUUUGUAAAUCUUGAAUAUCUCUCUGAAUGCGCCUGGUGUAUUCAGGUUUGAGGAUUGAUCUUUUUCUUUCCUUACAUUUUCAGGUUUAUGUUUUUCAUAUACCACAAGUAUGUUAUAGAAUGUUAUAAACGGGCCUUUUGUGCCUAUAACUUUAUACAACUUUCAGCAACGGAUCUCUUGGCUCUUGCAUCGAUGAAGAACGCAGCGAAAUGCGAUAAGUAAUGUGAAUUGCAGAAUUCAGUGAAUCAUCGAAUCUUUGAACGCACCUUGCGCUCCUUGGUAUUCCGAGGAGCAUGCCUGUUUGAGUGUCAUUAAUAUAUCAACCUCUUCAGCUUUUUUGCAUGUUGAGUUUGGAGGUGGGGGUAUUUUUUUGCUGGACUCUAGAAUUUUAGAGGUCAGCUCCCCUCAAAUGUAUCAGCGAAACAAUUUGUUUACCGCUUCAUUGGUGUGAUAACUAUCUACGCUAUUGAUGGUAAAGCAUGUUUAGCUCCUAACAGUCCAUUAACUUGGACAAUCUCUUAUUAAUGUGACCUCAAAUCAGGUAGGACUACCCGCUGAACUUAAGCAUAUCAAUAAGCGGAGGAAAAGAAACUAACAAGGAUUCCCCUAGUAACUGCGAGUGAAGCGGGAAAAGCUCAAAUUUAAAAUCUGGCAGUCUUUGACUGUCCGAGUUGUAAUCUA
This 771-nucleotide ribosomal RNA is filed under the name uncultured fungus. RNAcentral's name for it is "eukaryotic LSU rRNA". The stretch from base 248 to 401 matches the Rfam family "5.8S ribosomal RNA". Lineage: Eukaryota; Fungi. The record is from RNAcentral.